AAGUUUCUCACAGCGACCGGGUAGCUAAAUAUAGCUGCGUGUAAACACUGUUAAUUCUGUAAAACAACAACUGCUAAGUACCUUUCAGUUUUAAGUGGUCUAGCUAAUGCUAAAACCGCUGUUAGCCGACCGGGAGCCGGAUCCUCUUUCCGUCUUGUCAUUGAAAGCUUGAUUCAUAACUUGAAUCCAUGAGAGCAGCGCAUGUUUGAGUAAGGAUGGAUGAAAGUAAGAACGAUCGCGAGACUCCGCCCACAACUCCACCCAAAGCCACGCCCUCUCUUUCAGCGUCCACUGAUCAGCCGACAGGGGGUGGUUUUGUCGUACUGUGCCUUUAAGCCGAGUUCUGCCUGCCCACUUUUUCUACAUGCCUCCUCCCUCAGCUGCGUCAGACAACAGACCGACUUAAAGGAAGAAGGUCUCACGUAGCGUUUGUGAGAUACUACAUGAGUUUGAGCAGCCCAGAGUUGCUGAAGGAGCUGAAACAGCCUCUCACACUCAAACACGUCCAUAAACGCAACGGCUGGACCAAAAUCUUCAGCGGGAAAGGACGACCAAUCAAACAAAACACACUCUGCACUGAUUCGGAGGAUUUAGAGAAUCGAGCUAAACCAGCACAGUGACAAUCAGCAGGCGCGCUCUCAUUGGCAGUUUGAGAUGUCUGUCAGAGCUACGCCCCGCCCCUAUACCAAUGUGGGCGUGUUCUGUCUCUGUGAGCUGCUCUGGUUAUUAUCAGGGUCUUCAUCUGGGAUGUUUCUGUACAAGAUUUAAAAACCAGUGUAACUUUCCCCAUAGCACAACUAAUAUUUGAGUAACGUUGGUUAUCUAAUCAGAAUCAAAGCUGGAGGACUGAGUGUGAAGAAUAUGAACUGGAAAAAUGGCAAGAUGAAUUUACUGAAUUGCAAUUGAAAACUCAGUACCCAGUUGCAUCUUUACCAUGUGAAAACGAAUAAAUCAAAUACAUUUUG
Molecule: long non-coding RNA, 965 nt
Filed under: Danio rerio (zebrafish)
Lineage: Eukaryota; Metazoa; Chordata; Actinopteri; Cypriniformes; Danionidae
Description: lncRNA si:ch73-269m23.4 (ENSDARG00000095832.3)
Source: RNAcentral